RNAcentral lists this ribosomal RNA (280 nucleotides) under Apicomplexa sp. RNAcentral's name for it is "partial small subunit ribosomal RNA". It matches the Rfam family "Bacterial small subunit ribosomal RNA", at positions 28 to 331 of the family's 1533-position model. The record is from RNAcentral. Lineage: Eukaryota; Apicomplexa.
GAUGAACGCACAAGACGUGCCUAACACAUGCAAAUCGAAUGAAAAUUAUUGUUUUCAUGGUGAACGGGUGAGUAACACAUAAGAAUCAGCUUUUAGAUAAGGCAUAAAAGAGUAAUAUCUUGGUAAUUCCUUAUAUGCGCAGCAGUGCUUAAAAAGGGGAGUCCCGUCUAAAAACGAGCUUAUGCCUGAUUAGCUAGUUGGCGAGUUAAAAGCUCACCAAGGCGAAGAUCAGUAGCUGGCCUGAGAGGGCGGCCAGCCACAUUGGGACUGAGACACGGCC